ACCUGUACUUGCACGUCUAUAAAAUUGUCACGCUGGCCUAGAUUAGGGGUCAGUAAACUAAUUUGGGUAAGUGUAAGCCUUACUUUGGGUCAGUAAGCCUUGGGUCAGUGUAGUUUCCAUUAACCACACUAACAUGCCAAAAUAUCCAUACUUUUAGUAAGUAUUAUAAAGAACAUUCUUAUCAACUAAUUUGGGAACCCCUGGUUAGCUCAUCUGUAUCCAAAUUACAUUGAAAAUAUGAACUGAUUCUCCAUUUUUCUUAAUCCAAUUAGACAUAUGUAACUGCUAAUCUGGUAGAAGAAAAAGUCAAUACGUGGAAUCUAUGAGACAGCAUGAAGAAGACGACUUUUCUGGUGUGCAUGAGUGAGCUGUCUUUCCCAGGAAGUCAAGGUCCAGACAUUAAGAAGAAAGGUGAUUCAGCUUCACAAGGCCCAACGCGGGCUGAAGAUGAAAACUAAUGAGAAAAGUCCAGAUGGCCAAGGGAAAAAAAAGAGAUUCAGUCUUCAAGACCAAGCAGAAGCUGAAGACACCAGCCAGCAAGGCCACAUGCUCCCCUCCCCUCCCCCGAACCCAGUUAAAAACCCCUCCCUUUUUCCUUUCAGGGAGGUGGAGUUGAGUUUCAACUCCCAUCUCCUCAUCUGGUUGCCUUUCAAUAAUAAACCUCUUACCUUGCCACAA
Long non-coding RNA from Diceros bicornis minor, 678 nucleotides. RefSeq lists it as uncharacterized. The transcript is spliced from 2 exons. The record is from RefSeq and is a predicted model, not a curated record. NCBI's taxonomy places the organism in Eukaryota, Metazoa, Chordata, Mammalia, Perissodactyla, Rhinocerotidae.